Long non-coding RNA from Macaca mulatta (Rhesus monkey), 1422 nucleotides. RefSeq lists it as uncharacterized. Lineage: Eukaryota; Metazoa; Chordata; Mammalia; Primates; Cercopithecidae. The record is from RefSeq and is a predicted model, not a curated record.
AUGCUUGUAGUCUGUGGACAGUACUUUGAAUACCUGAAACCACCUCCCAGACAUGUCCCACCUCCCUGGAGCUGGCCUCCUGGUUUCAGACAUGUGGGCGAUCGGCGUUGAGAACAUACAGUGCACGGAAGGAAUGCGCACAAAUGCAGGGCUCCAGGGAAGAAAAGCCACAGCACAGGACCCAGUAGGAAAACUGCCACGAGGGGGUACCAAGCCGAGGAGAGCUUUGCUCCUGCUGCUUUCCUCAAGGAAGAGCCUGCUUCCUGCGGUAAGUGAAGUCUAGGGUGCAAGGACACCUAAUGAUGUGCCUCAGACCCAGAGGAUCCAUUAAGAAUCUGAUGCUCCUAGAAAACUGGCUCCAUCGUCAGUGUCUCAGGAACCGCUGGGUUGUGACUUUUUUUCUUUGGUGCUAGGAUGACGAUGGUGAUGAUAAUAAUGGUGAUGAUGACAAAGAUGACUAUGAAGAAGUAGGAAGAGAUUUGGAAGAGGGAGAAGAGGAAGGGGAGGAGGAAGAACAAGGUCAUCAGGGUUUGUUGAACACUUACUACAUGCCUGAUCUCAGUUAACCCUUAAACUCACCUGGUGAGGGUUGUACUACAUUUAUUCCCAUUUUACAGAUGAGGAAACCAAGCCUCAAGGAAGCUGAGUCUCCUGUCCAAGCCCCUGCAGUUGGCAAGUUGCAGAUCCGGAGUAGAGUACAAAACUCCCUUAUCUGUGUCUCCAAGAGACACCGUGACCUAUUAUGGCUUCCCUCUGCUGGUUCAGGCGUAGUCUCAGAAUUUUUCCUGCCCCAUUGCCCUUGCCACCCCAUUAACCCCACUUGCUGCAGGUAGCCGAUGCUAUCUCCUGCCAGCCUGGAGCCAGGCUAAGAGGAAGAGAAAGGAGGAAAUGCCUGCAGAAACAUCCUAUGGAAAGAACACUUUGGGUUCAGAAAAAAGAAAAGCCUGUGUCUCACUUGCGGCCCCACCCUUCGCUAGGUACAGCCAGUUCUGCUCCGAGGCUUGUCUUGAAAACCCAAAUUUGUUCUAGUGUGAUUGACGUGUUAGUGGAUAAUUUGAGUGUGAUGUGAAUUUGGUUUUUACCUAUAUGUGAUUUUGUCCUCAGGAAAUGCUAGGCCGUUGCAGAAAACUACAUCCUGCUUGGUCAAGCCCUGCAGGACACACACACACAAGCAUGUGCACACACACGUGGCCCUCCAAUGCCACCUCAGCUGUGGGUUAGGAGCCACACCUAUCCGCACCUGGUGUUACAACCGUCUGCUCCAUUUCGGGUAACCUCCCUUCCUCCACCACACAAUCACUUAGAAACUGUAACUCUUCUUGGGCCCAGGUGCACAGGGGAAUUCAGAUCUUUCCCAAGGAGCACCACUUCCCCCACGUUGUCCACCUCGUCCACCUCACAGAACAGCCGGGUGGCUUAGAG